This 64-nucleotide transfer RNA is filed under the name Neotoma lepida (desert woodrat). It matches the Rfam family "tRNA". Rfam says of the family: Transfer RNA (tRNA) molecules are approximately 80 nucleotides in length. Their secondary structure includes four short double-helical elements and three loops (D, anti-codon, and T loops). Lineage: Eukaryota; Metazoa; Chordata; Mammalia; Rodentia; Cricetidae. The record is from Rfam by way of RNAcentral.
GAUGAGAUGGCUCAGAGGGUAAGAGCUCUUGCUAAGGACCUGGGUUCAAUUCCCAGCUUCAACA